GGCGUGAUCCUCUCAUCAUUUUGUCUUUUGACGUGUAGUAGGAGAGGAGCCCGGCGUUGUAGUCCAGCACGAACCAGCGGUACUGCCAGCCCUUCAUUACAUUGGUCCAUUUGCUCAGCGGGCCCUCCAUGAUAGACGCCAUCUUAGGCACCGAACCGGCACCGCCGCGCGCACCGCCCGUGCGGCGAGGGGAGCAGGGAGAGACACACGGCGGCGGC
RNAcentral lists this long non-coding RNA (218 nucleotides) under Gallus gallus (chicken). The record is from RNAcentral. Lineage: Eukaryota; Metazoa; Chordata; Aves; Galliformes; Phasianidae.